GGCGCGGCUCCGCGUCGGGUACGGAGCGGCCGUUUGGCAUCAAACUGUCGCCCUCCGCUGAUGGGAUCGGUGAUGUCCCGACCCCAAGUGGACGCCCGCUGAGGGGUUUAUUCUUCUCGGCAAAGCCUGAGCGGGCGGUGAGGGGCUCCUGAGCUGCACGGUCGGCCCUGCGGCCCACCAGGUUCACCUGAAUCUCAUCUCCAUCCAAGCUGCACCACAGGCUGAUCACUGGCUUUGGGUUUAGUGCAAACCCAGGAGUCUCGUGGGAACCAACACCGCAGGAUGGAAGAUGGGGCUGUUUUCUGGGACAGGUGAGGAGCAGGGGAUGAGAUGCCCAGGUUUUGCAGGACGGGCUCUCCAAACAGCACACUGCAAGUUGCCUUGCAGGGACUUACACCACCAGCUGAGAUGUGUCUGGGGGAGUUGAUUCUGGCCCUGCAGCCCCUGGUGAGCUUUUCCAUUACCUGCUCCUGAAUCACCCCAUCACAGCAGCCCAAGGACCCCAGUGACCAUCGUGGAUGUGGCCGG
Long non-coding RNA from Gallus gallus (chicken), 528 nucleotides. Lineage: Eukaryota; Metazoa; Chordata; Aves; Galliformes; Phasianidae. The record is from Ensembl.